Molecule: transfer RNA, 66 nt
Filed under: Paragonimus heterotremus
Lineage: Eukaryota; Metazoa; Platyhelminthes; Trematoda; Plagiorchiida; Troglotrematidae
Description: tRNA-Asp
Rfam family: tRNA
About the family: Transfer RNA (tRNA) molecules are approximately 80 nucleotides in length. Their secondary structure includes four short double-helical elements and three loops (D, anti-codon, and T loops).
Source: RNAcentral
ACGGUCUUAGUUUAGUCGUAGAAUAGUAGCUUGUCGUGCUAUAGGUGGGUUUAGUCUCAGGCUGUG